AUUGAACGCUGGCGGCAUGCUUUACACAUGCAAGUCGAACGGUAACAGGCCUUCGGGUGCUGCCGAGUGGCGAACGGGUGCGUAAUGCAUCGGAACGUGCCCAGAGGUGGGGGAUAACGCAGCGAAAGCUGUGCUAAUACCGCAUGUGAUCUGAGGAUGAAAGCGGGGGACCAGGCAGCAAUGUUUGGCCUCGCGCCUUUGGAGCGGCCGAUGUCAGAUUAGGUAGUUGGUGGGGUAAAGGCCUACCAAGCCGACGAUCUGUAGCUGGUCUGAGAGGACGACCAGCCACACUGGGACUGAGACACGGCCCAGACUCCUACGGGAGGCAGCAGUGGGGAAUUGUGGACAAUGGGCGCAAGCCUGAUCCAGCAAUGCCGCGUGCGGGAAGAAGGCCUUCGGGUUGUAAACCGCUUUUGUACGGAACGAAAAGGCUCUGGCUAAUACCUGGGGCUGAUGACGGUACCGUAAGAAUAAGCACCGGCUAACUACG
RNAcentral lists this ribosomal RNA (490 nucleotides) under uncultured bacterium. Its description in RNAcentral is "partial 16S ribosomal RNA". It matches the Rfam family "Bacterial small subunit ribosomal RNA", at positions 29 to 505 of the family's 1533-position model. The record is from RNAcentral.